UACGAAGGGGGCUAGCGUUGCUCGGAAUCACUGGGCGUAAAGGGCGCGUAGGCGGAUGAUCAAGUCGGGGGUGAAAUCCUGAGGCUCAACCUCAGAACUGCCUUCGAUACUGGUCGUCUCGAGUUCGGGAGAGGUGAGUGGAACUCCGAGUGUAGAGGUGAAAUUCGUAGAUAUUCGGAAGAACACCAGUGGCGAAGGCGGCUCACUGGCCCGAUACUGACGCUGAGGCGCGAAAGCGUGGGGAGCAAAC
Molecule: ribosomal RNA, 250 nt
Filed under: uncultured bacterium
Lineage: Bacteria
Description: partial 16S ribosomal RNA
Rfam family: Bacterial small subunit ribosomal RNA
Source: RNAcentral